UGGGCUUAUAUUUUCAGAAAGCUGUUGAAGAAAAGCAUCAGAAAAACCUUCCUACAAAACAAAAUGAGGCAAAACUUCAAGCCUGGAGAACCCCAUCAGUGAAUUCAUCUCAACAUUUGAGGAAGAGGUAUAACUCAUCAGAAAUGCUCGUGUCUGUGUGCCAAAUGAUAUUGAAAUGGAAGCAAACCACCCCUACGUGCAGUGCUGUGUGAUUAUUACAGUUCUACUACCAAAUGAAAGAAAUAAGAUGCAGUUCAUUCUCUGUAAUUCCCUUUACAUAAGGUUCAAAACCAGGAAAACUAAUCUGCACGGUUAGAAGCGAGGUUUCCUCUGAGGAAAAGAAGAGUCGUCAUUUGGAACCAGAGUAGGUGGGGGGCGGGGAUGAAGUUCUAAGUUUCUGGUAGUGACUUGUUUGUCUUAGAAUGAUGGUUGUACAGGUUUUUUCACUUUGGAAUUGCUUCUGGAGCUCUCCAAUAUUUAUACCCCUUUUAGUUAUAUAUAUUCUACUUCAGUAAAAGAAUUUAUAUUAACAUGAAAGCAUAGAAAUUGUCCACUUUACUGAAGUUGUGAAAUUUUUGCACUGCCAUACAAAUACUGCCCUGGUUUCUUUUUCUGAAAGGCAGCAGUAAUUCAUCCUAUGAAUGUAUAAACCCCAACACAACUCAAGAAUCAGGCAAGUGGGUGCAAUGUAUGUGGUAUGUGAAGAAUCCAAAUAGAUCCCUCGGCUGUCACAGCUGAGCUGUGGGGCUGCCAGGAAUCUCAAGGAUGAGAAGACAAUUAAAGAAAAUCCUUUAUGGGACAAGGGCUUUGAAGAAGCCUCAGGUUAACAAAUAUCCAAUGGGAACUCUCCUCCUCUGCUAACAGGUAGUCAUGGAUCACAAGCAAUCGAGGCAUGUAAAAUUUGCCACCAAAGUAAUUGUACGUGGGGCUUCCCUGGUGGUCCAGUGGUUAAGAAUCCACCUUGCAAUGCAAGGGACACAGGUUUGAUCCCUGGUCUGGAGGAUCCCACAUGCCGCAGAGCAACUAAGCCAGUGCACCACAGCUAAUGAGCCAGUGCUCCCGAGCCUGCGAGCUGCAACUGCUGAGCCCAUGCACCGCAACUACUGAAGCCCUAGAGCCCAGGCUCUGCAAAAAGAGAAGUCACCACAAUGAGAAGUCUGUGAACCCCAACGAAGAGUAGCCCUUGCUCGCCAUGACUAGAGAAAGCCCACGUGCAGCAACGAAGACCCAGAGCAGCCAAAAAAAAAUAGAAUAAAUAAAUAAAUUUUUUUAAAAAAUAAUUAUACAUAAUACCUGCUGAGCUCUUUUUAUGACCUGGGCCCACUUUGCAAGCAAUAACUUAUUUUAUCCUCACGAUAACCUUUUUCUAAUUACACAGAUGAAAAUAUCAGAGGCACAGACUGGUGUAGCAAUUUGCCACAGUGUGGGAGUAAAGAGGCAAGAUGUGAACCCAGGCAGUCUGGCCACAGGGCUCAAACUCCUAACGUCUGUCCACACAGCUGUUCCAGGCUAAUUAGCAACUUUACAAACUGGUCUUGCACACAUCUCAGUAAUGUGACGGAAGGAAUACAAUUUUUUUUUUUAAAUGUUCUGGUAGAAUGUUUU
Long non-coding RNA from Bos taurus (domestic cattle), 1605 nucleotides. The record is from Ensembl. Lineage: Eukaryota; Metazoa; Chordata; Mammalia; Artiodactyla; Bovidae.